This 271-nucleotide long non-coding RNA is filed under the name Elaeis guineensis (African oil palm). Its description in RNAcentral is "long non-coding RNA (EGUI_LNC000069)". Lineage: Eukaryota; Viridiplantae; Streptophyta; Magnoliopsida; Arecales; Arecaceae. The record is from RNAcentral.
UCCAUGAAUCUCAAAUUUCUUUUUUUCUUGUGUUCUACGUUUUCUGUUUUCCUUGAAGCACUCCUUUCCAGAUUUUCUUGAAUCCACUGAUGAACUUGUUGUUUGCCAAUGUGAGAAUCCAUAAUCUUAGCAUCCUCGAAAUAAAAAGAACUCAUUGAGGACUUCAAAAGAGAUCGCUUUGUAUAUAAUAAAUUUCAGGCUAGUAACAUGUGUAUGUUGCUGUGAGCGCGAACUAGGAAGGCUAAGCAGAUGAGUGCAAAGUGCUGAAUGG